Molecule: ribosomal RNA, 253 nt
Filed under: uncultured bacterium
Lineage: Bacteria
Description: partial 16S ribosomal RNA
Rfam family: Bacterial small subunit ribosomal RNA
Source: RNAcentral
UACGUAGGGCGCAAGCGUUGUCCGGAAUUAUUGGGCGUAAAGAGCUCGUAGGCGGUUUGUCGCGUCUGCUGUGAAAACCUAAGGCUCAACCUUGGGCUUGCAGUGGGUACGGGCAGACUAGAGUGCGGUAGGGGUGACUGGAAUUCCUGGUGUAGCGGUGGAAUGCGCAGAUAUCAGGAGGAACACCGAUGGCGAAGGCAGGUCACUGGGCCGCAACUGACGCUGUGGAGCGAAAGCAUGGGGAGCGAACAGG